UACGUAGGGGGCAAGCGUUGUCCGGAAUCAUUGGGCGUAAAGCGCGUGUAGGCGGUCCGGUAAGUCCGCUGUGAAAGUCGGGGGCUCAACCCUCGAAAGCCGGUGGAUACUGUCGGGCUAGAGUGCGGAAGAGGCGAGUGGAAUUCCUGGUGUAGCGGUGAAAUGCGCAGAUAUCAGGAGGAACACCGAUUGCGAAGGCAGCUCGCUGGGACGUAACUGACGCUGAGACGCGAAAGCGUGGGGAGCAAACAGG
This 253-nucleotide ribosomal RNA is filed under the name uncultured bacterium. RNAcentral's name for it is "partial 16S ribosomal RNA". It matches the Rfam family "Bacterial small subunit ribosomal RNA", at positions 524 to 776 of the family's 1533-position model. The record is from RNAcentral.